RNAcentral lists this long non-coding RNA (977 nucleotides) under Zonotrichia albicollis (white-throated sparrow). RNAcentral describes it as "lncRNA (ENSZALG00000004640.1)". The record is from RNAcentral. Lineage: Eukaryota; Metazoa; Chordata; Aves; Passeriformes; Passerellidae.
AUCACUUCCUGUGCUCACUCUGGUCUUGGCUUUCAGGUCCUGCUGGAGGUGACCUGGAGCAGAUGUCCCCAAUCAACCCACGGGCUCACAGUCAAUAUCUUAACAAAGCAAAUCCAGGGCCUCCAUCCCUGAGCAGCUGGAGAUGGUUGGAGGAGGGAAAGCCCUCAGGGGGAAGCAGCUGCUGGGGUUUAUAAAGCAGGAGCAGAGGUUGGGGUUUCCUUAUCCCAAAGGAGAGAAAGUGCUUCCUGCUAGGAAUGAGGAAUCCAACUGCUCAUCUUCUCUUCUCCAGCCCUUCCAACUGCUGGAACCAAGGAGAGCAAUCUUCUGUCCACUGUCCCAGAGGGUCCAGGGAAGGUAAAACGGUCAGAAGAAAACCCCUGGAGAUUAAUUUGGAAUUUGUGGGCUGAAGAAUGAGGAUUUGAGUCACAGCUGACCACACGUCUUGAGAAUCAGAGAAUCAUUAAGGCUGGAAAAGACUUUCAAGAUCAUUAAGUCCAACCUUUGUAUUUGCAGUUAACAAGGUGAAUUCUGACUAAAAUAUCCGAGGUGGUAGAGAUCCAUUAAAAAAAUCCAUUUUUUUGCCAUUGUUAGAUGUAAUUACAUUCCUUCUUUACUGCAUGGAAUUGUCUUUUGGGUACAUAUUUUUAUUGGCAAUCAGAGAAACACCAGCAGCAGCCUAAAAUAUGAAAUAUUUAAUGCAAAAUAUGAAAACCUCAUAGCGUUAGUGGAAAAAACUUAAAUAUAGGUUAAAAUAGCACAGAAGUUUGGGAUUACAGUGAUAAAUCUCAAUUUUUGUUCUAGAACUCUGUGUUUGGCAUAGAAAAGAUCAAAAAAAGGGAAAGUGCUGCAAAAAAAAUGUGAAUUUUGCUUAGAAAGGAUGAAAAAAUGGGGGAAAAGUGCCUGUGCUGUAGAUUCAGAUUGUACUUGCAAUUCAUUUAAGGAGCUACUGAAUCCAGAGUUAAAUUGUUAAUUUAUUC